Echinops telfairi (small Madagascar hedgehog) is the source of this 106-nucleotide small nuclear RNA. NCBI's taxonomy places the organism in Eukaryota, Metazoa, Chordata, Mammalia, Afrosoricida, Tenrecidae. The record is from RefSeq and is a predicted model, not a curated record.
GUGCUCGCUUUGGCAGAAUAUAUACUAAAAUUGGAAUGAUACAGAGAAGAUUAGCAUGGCCCCUGCACAAGAUGACAGGCAAAAUCAUGAAGCAUUGCGUAUUUUU